UUAUUAUUAUCAACGUUGGUAUAAAUUACAACAAUAUAGGUAUACCUGAUUAAAAAUUAUAAAUAUUUAAAUCAAUUUACCCCGAUAAGCAUAGUUUUUUCGGAGAAGGAAACUAUCGCGAUAGUAUAUAACAAUCAUAGAUAUAGCGGCCAUACGAUAAUGUUGUAGAAUGGCAAUGCAAUAGACAACACGAUAGUACAGUGAUUUUCAGUAUAAAAACGUCUGUUAUCACGAUUCACGAGAGUAAAAUAGAAUGAUAAUAAUAGUAUUAUUACGCGUCUACACGUUGAGUUAUUUACAUUACUCUCGCGUCAGUUACUAUUAUACCAAUACGUAUGCAUGAUAGUGUGAUAGUUACUUUCAAGAUUGUCCGAUAGUGUUACAAGAGCUCUAUUUAUACCACGAUAGCUUAUGACAGUAACUAUCAUAGUUGCGAUUUUCGCAACAAUCACGAUGUACAAUAUAAUACUCAACUAUAAACGUGAGGUCCAGGCGUUGUGAAUAUUGUGUAGGAACUUUUAACUAAUAAUAAAACAUGUGAUAAUAUUAUUUAUUUAUUUAAUUUACUGCGACUAUCGAUAAGUUAUAUAGCAGUGUAUAAUUAU
Molecule: non-coding RNA, 605 nt
Organism: Cinara cedri
Lineage: Eukaryota; Metazoa; Arthropoda; Insecta; Hemiptera; Aphididae
Source: the annotation of a GenBank genome assembly